GAUGAACGCUGGCGGCGUGCCUAAUACAUGCAAGUCGAGCGAACAGACGAGGAGCUUGCUCCUCUGACGUUAGCGGCGGACGGGUGAGUAACACGUGGAUAACCUACCUAUAAGACUGGGAUAACUUCGGGAAACCGGAGCUAAUACCGGAUAAUAUAUUGAACCGCAUGGUUCAAUAGUGAAAGACGGUUUUGCUGUCACUUAUAGAUGGAUCCGCGCCGCAUUAGCUAGUUGGUAAGGUAACGGCUUACCAAGGCGACGAUGCGUAGCCGACCUGAGAGAGUGAUCGGCGACAUUGGAACUGAGACACGGUCCAGACUCCUACGGGAGGCAGCAGAAGGGAAUCUUCCGCAAUGGGCGAAAGCCUGACGGAGCAACGCCGCGUGAGUGAUGAAGGUCUUCGGAUCGUAAAACUCUGUUAUUAGGGAAGAACAAAUGUGUAAGUAACUAUGCACGUCUUGACGGUACCUAGUCAGAAAGCCACGGCUAACUACGUG
Molecule: ribosomal RNA, 497 nt
Filed under: uncultured bacterium
Lineage: Bacteria
Description: partial 16S ribosomal RNA
Rfam family: Bacterial small subunit ribosomal RNA
Source: RNAcentral